AGAUUGAACGCUGGCGGCAGGCCUAACACAUGCAAGUCGAGCGGUAGAGAGGUGCUUGCACCUCUUGAGAGCGGCGGACGGGUGAGUAAAGCCUAGGAAUCUGCCUGGUAGUGGGGGGAUAACGCUCGGAAACGGACGCUAAUACCGCAUACGUCCUACGGGAGAAAGCAGGGGACCUUCGGGCCUUGCGCUAUCAGAUGAGCCUAGGUCGAUUAGCUAGUUGGUGAGGUAAUGGCUCACCAAGGCGACGAUCCGUAACUGGUCUGAGAGGAUGAUCAGUCACACUGGAACUGAGACACGGUCCAGACUCCUACGGGAGCAGCGAGUGGGAAUAUUGGACAAGUGGGACGAAGCCUGAUCCAGCAUGCGCGUGUGUAGAAGAAGGUCUUACGGAUUAGUAAACGUACGUACGUUUAAGUAGGGAGGUAAGGCGUAACGUUACCGUAA
This 447-nucleotide ribosomal RNA is filed under the name uncultured soil bacterium. RNAcentral describes it as "bacterial SSU rRNA". It matches the Rfam family "Bacterial small subunit ribosomal RNA", at positions 26 to 469 of the family's 1533-position model. The record is from RNAcentral.